GACGAACGCUGGCGGCGUGCCUAACACAUGCAAGUCGAACGGGACCGGGGGCAACUCCGGUUCAGUGGCGGACGGGUGCGUAACACGUGAGGAACAUGACCUUCGGCGGGGGAUAGCCGGCCCAACGGCCGGGUAAUACCGCGUACGACCAUUUGGGGACAUCCCUGGAUGGUGAAAGCAGCAAUGCGCCGAUGGAGUGCCUCGCGGCCUAUCAGCUAGUUGGUGGGGUAACGGCCUACCAAGGCGACGACGGGUAGCUGGUCUGAGAGGAUGGCCAGCCACAUUGGGACUGAGACACGGCCCAGACUCCUACGGGAGGCAGCAGUGGGGAAUAUUGCGCAAUGGACGAAAGUCUGACGCUGCGACGCCGCGUGUGGGAUGACGGUCUUCGGAUUGUAAACCACUGUCGGGAGGGACGAAUACGCCGCAAGGCGGGUGACGGUACCUCCAAAGGAAGCACCGGCUAACUCCGUGCCAGCAGCCGCGGUAAUACGGAGGGUGCGAGCGUUGUCCGGAA
This 517-nucleotide ribosomal RNA is filed under the name uncultured bacterium. RNAcentral's name for it is "bacterial SSU rRNA". It matches the Rfam family "Bacterial small subunit ribosomal RNA", at positions 28 to 550 of the family's 1533-position model. The record is from RNAcentral.